UCGAUCGGCGAGUCAAUUAGAGGUGAUAACCGACUCGGGGAGGAGAAGAAAAAGGGGAAAAAAUCAGCUAUCACACACAUAAGGCAUUCGAGAAAAUAUCAGAAGAGAGAGAGAAUGGAGAAAACUAGAGAGAGAAAGCAAGAGGGAUAGGGUCAGAGGUCCUCAACCGAGCGUCCGGCGCCGCCCUAAUCGGAGGAGCGCUAGCAAAUCGACCCCUUGGCUGUGACCUUCCCUUCCCUAUUCCGGUCAAAUAGCUGAUCGCAAAACCCUGAAAACAAGCUCCGAUUGACCAACCGAUGACUUUCCCAGCGAAGCUGAUCGCUGUGGGUGAUAGUACAAGUGCAAGAGAACUAAACUGAAGCGGCCUAGUGGUUUGAAAACUCCAUUUCUGCCAUCGUCAACGAAGGUAUAAAUCGUUCGCAAUUGUACAUUAAUUGUUCAAUAAAAUGCUAAAGUCAAUAAUCGAGUUAAAUCUUGGUUGAUCUUGUGGUUUGUUUGUUGUAUUGUUGAUUACAAGUUCCACGCUUGCAUUUCUAAUAAGUUUUUGUUUGAUUCUUGCAUUUUGGAUCAUUGAACUUGCAUUUUGCACCAAGUUGGUCUUGUAUUUGCUUCGCCGGAACUUGCUAGCUCUCGCUGGAGUGCUUUCCAGCGGCCAAUGGCCGUUCAAUAAGCCGCGAGAACCUGCUUGGCAAAAGCAGCAGAGAAUGGGGACAAAGCCAUGGCCAACAUCACAAACACCGGCAAUUUCACCUCCAUUGUUGUUACCUUGUUAUGCCUAGGAACAUCUUCAAUCCCGAGUAUGUACAUACGGAGGAUUUGAUCCGCCGUGAAGAUUGGGUGUAGUCAGUGGAAAAGACUUGGAAGUCAGUGAGUGAACUUCUUUGCUUGUUGUCACUUCUGGACUUUAAUAAAGUGGCCACACUGUUAGGAAUCAAUUUCUCUUCAGUGCUAUCGUCUUCGGGACUCGGUACUUCCACGGCGUCGGGCUCUUAAACACGGCCGGUCGUGACGAGAAGCGUGGUCCGUUGAAUCGAGUAAAAGAAAUGUCAGCCGUCGGAUGGCGAGCAUAUGAGAUGACCCCCCAUGAUAUUUUCUUGCUAAUCAGGAUUGAACCGCAUGAACAUUUCCUUGCGAAUCAGUAUUGUUUCUAGUCAAAUAAGCUAUUUUUAUACUUCGUGUGAAAAUGUAAGAAUCCAAUAUAUUUUCCAACUUGACCUUCGAACCACGGAAAGUUGAAUUUGGUUACAGUAAAUUAGUGGGAAGUUCUACCAUAAGGUGAAAAGAAUUAA
Molecule: long non-coding RNA, 1289 nt
Organism: Syzygium oleosum
Lineage: Eukaryota; Viridiplantae; Streptophyta; Magnoliopsida; Myrtales; Myrtaceae
Exons: 2
Source: RefSeq, a predicted model, not a curated record